AAUCCUGAGUUUUCCCCCCACAUGUUCAAUUUGGAAGUUAAUACUGCACAAAUGUCACGGAUCUAGAUGCUGUUGAGUUCAAGGUCGGCAGGAGCAUUUUGGUUCGUGCCAGAUAAGGCCAGGAAAUGGAAGCAGUGGCGUCAUCUGCACGCAUUGUACUAACAGAGCAGCACACGCCAGUUGCUUACGGCGUCAUCAGGUGAUCUCAAGAUGGACACGGUUUUCUGUUCUAAGUGUAGUUGUAGGUUUACAAAUAUAUGAGUGCGAGUGAGAUGUGUGUGUAGGAUUAGUGUGCGUGCAUGUAAAAAUAUAUACUAUAGCUAUACUCAGAUGACUUAUAUAAAAAAAA
Panicum virgatum (switchgrass) is the source of this 349-nucleotide long non-coding RNA. RefSeq lists it as uncharacterized. NCBI's taxonomy places the organism in Eukaryota, Viridiplantae, Streptophyta, Magnoliopsida, Poales, Poaceae. The record is from RefSeq and is a predicted model, not a curated record. The transcript is spliced from 2 exons.